GCCACUCAUCGCAGCAUGAGUUAUCUUCCAAACUGGUCACUCGACAGUUGGACACCGUAAAGUACAGACGCAGGAUAUGCAAGAUGAAUGGCGUGAAACGUCAGCUGUUUUCUGUUGUAGAUCUAGAUGGACAAGCAGUCAAGAUUUUUUCAGAUGCACCACAUUUUCCGACUUACUCCAUAAACGGCACCUGCAAGUAACCCAGUCUUUUGUUUGGAUUCUGGAACACGACGCUUUUAUAUGCACAUUAUUAUCUUAAAACUGAAUAAACGCAUUUCUCUGUGGUUGUUUAUUUUGAUAUGAAGUAUUAAAAUGGUAAUUAUAAUAAGAGAAAUGAUUGAUCUGCUAGCCAUGUAACAACUUGUCGAGCGCUCUCAAAAUUUUCUGUAAAGUUUAAUUAAUAUAUCAAUAUUGCUCUUGCUAUUUAUGUUGGUAUUACCUUAUUUGUUCAACUUGAAAUAGUUUUUGGCUUUUUUUAUUGUGCCCCAAAUUUUUUUGUGUCCAAGUAAUUCCUAUUUGGGCAAUAAUUUUUUUAAACACAGAAACAAAUUGUACUCAAAAUAUUUUAGAAAUACCUGCAGCAAUAAUUUGUACUUACAAUCGUACUUUGAUAAAUUUGUUUCAAUUUCUACAAUAGUUUUAUACUAUAAUGAAAUUAAGCACCAAAUACAGAUAGUUUAAAGAUUGCAACUCUCACUGAAAUUCGCUAAAUAGUUUGGGAUAGUAUUGUAUUGAUCACAAAUGUUCAAAUUACUCUUCUCAUGAACGUGUUUCGUUUAAUAAAAGAUUUCAUGUAAAGAUCAUUUUUAAUUUUCCUACUUCCAUCACCAGGUCACAAAAAUAUACUGAAUAAUCCAAGUUAUUUGUUUGAUUUCAAAUCUUGUCAUAGUAGAGCUUCAUGUACUUUUCAAUUAUGUUAAUAAAAUGUUGACAACUCCUGCCUUGCAAACCUUGCUGGCAUACUUGUUUAUUUUGAAAGAAAUUCUUGGAAAAUGGAAUGAAAUCGUAU
Lingula anatina is the source of this 1009-nucleotide long non-coding RNA. The record is from RefSeq and is a predicted model, not a curated record. Lineage: Eukaryota; Metazoa; Brachiopoda; Lingulata; Lingulida; Lingulidae.